Molecule: ribosomal RNA, 780 nt
Filed under: uncultured Neocallimastigales
Lineage: Eukaryota; Fungi; Neocallimastigomycota; Neocallimastigomycetes; Neocallimastigales
Description: partial large subunit ribosomal RNA
Rfam family: Eukaryotic large subunit ribosomal RNA
Source: RNAcentral
UAUCUCUGUAGAGUCUGCAUAUCAAUAAGCGGAGGAAAAGAAACUAACUAGGAUUCCCUCAGUAACGGCGAGUGAAGCGGGAAGAGCUCAAAUUUGAAAUCUUCAAGGUUCUACCUUGACGAAUUGUAGUUUAAAGAAGUGUUUUCUGUUGGAGUUUUGGUAAAAGUUCUUUGGAAUAGGACAUCAUAGAGGGUGAGAAUCCCGUAUUUGACCAUUAUUUCCAGCUUUGUGAUACACUUUCAAAGAGUCGGAUUGUUUGGGAAUGCAGUCCAAAAUGGGUGGUAAAUUUCAUCUAAAGCUAAAUAUUGGCGAGAGACCGAUAGCGAACAAGUACCGUGAGGGAAAGAUGAAAAGAACUUUGAAAAGAGAGUUAAAACAGUACGUGAAAUUGUCAAAAGGGAAGCGUUUGACACCAGUGUUGUUUUCUCGAAAAUCAAUUAAAAAAGGCAGGAUUUUGUGUUGUAUUGACUUUAUCAGCUUUCUGCACUCUUUUCUUGUCUUUUUUAAUGCACUUUUCGUUUAACAAGUCAACAUCAAUUUCUUUUGUUGUAAAAGGGUCAUUGGAAGGUGGCUUUCUUUUCGGAGAAAGUGUUUAUAGCCUUUGGCCUCUGCAAUCGGAGAGAUUGAGGUCUGCAGCGUAGAUCCUUCGGGGCUAGAUACAUUAGAUGCUAAGUUAUAGCCUUUUCAUAGACAACUUGUUGACUAUAAUUCAGUCAUGUAGCUUACUCGCUUAUGCGCUAUUUUACCUACGCUUAGGAUGUUGACGAUCAGCUGAGCGCG